This 256-nucleotide long non-coding RNA is filed under the name Salvator merianae (Argentine black and white tegu). RNAcentral's name for it is "lncRNA (ENSSMRG00000013526.1)". Lineage: Eukaryota; Metazoa; Chordata; Lepidosauria; Squamata; Teiidae. The record is from RNAcentral.
CUCCCCAUGGCUCCGGAGGAGGACUUGCUCUNUUCAAAAGAAAACAUCACUCCAUGGGAUGACAUCUUGAGUUCUUUCUAUCUCACAACAGUUUCUGGAGCCACUGUCCAUUUCCGAGGGUCCCUAGCAACUGCUACACCGUAAUUCCAGAUGCUUGGAAAAUUCAUUUCUUCUUUGGCCUCUGUUCCAUCAGCCACCUUCUCAACAAGAUACGUGCUUCUUGUGUCACCAACCAAGUUCAGCAAUCUUUUGCACU